ACUAAUACGUUCUGUAUGGCUGUGUAUAUUGUUUUAUGCAUGUCAAUGGAUUUAAAUUUGUAACUUAAUCUUUAUUUUUUUUUUAUAGUAUUUUUACGAUCUUUCUCAUCUAUUUUUGCAUUUGAAAUCACUGAAGCCUUGGCGUUCCUGGCCAGUAGAAGGAAAGGACAGCAACUCUUGACAGUGACCAAGAAUGAAUGAGAGAAUUAGAAGUGGAACUGCAAAUUCUGAUUUCGAGCAUGCUGACUUGGGCGAGAGAUCGCGAAAAUGGGAGAAAGUAAAGACAUUUAAAUCCUGUAAAUAAUUCUGGGGUUGAGGGUGAAUUACAAGAAGUAAAGCUGUAAAAAUUUCAGCCGAUAUUUGUGUGGAAAACUCUGACAUAAACCUGUACAGGUCAAUGCUUUAUGAAUUUAUUUAUAUAAUCAUAUUUUAAAUUAACAAUUAAAUAAACAUCAGUAAACAACAAA
Pomacea canaliculata is the source of this 467-nucleotide long non-coding RNA. RefSeq lists it as uncharacterized. NCBI's taxonomy places the organism in Eukaryota, Metazoa, Mollusca, Gastropoda, Architaenioglossa, Ampullariidae. The record is from RefSeq and is a predicted model, not a curated record. The transcript is spliced from 2 exons.